GCCGGUUCGCCGCCCGUCGGUGUCUAACUGGCAUGCACGUGCGGACGUCCUGCCGGUGGCCCGAGCCGGCGGGGGUCUCGCACCCGUCGUCCGGGGAAGGCCUAUCAUACCCGUCGCGGUGCUCUUAACCGAGUGUCUCGAUGGGCCGGCACGUUUACUUUGAACAAAUUACAGUGCUUAAAGCAGGCAGCAUCCGCCUGAAUACCGAGUGCAUGGAAUAAUGGAAUAGGACCUCGGUUCUAUUUUGUUGGUUUUCGGAAUCCCCGAGGUAAUGAUCAAUAGGGACAGACGGGGGCAUUCGUAUUGCGACGUUGAAGGUGAAAUUCUUGGAUCGUCGCAGGACGGACCGAAGCGAAAGCAUUUGCCAAGAAUGUUUUCUCUGAUCAAGAACGAAAGUUAGAGGUUCGAAGGCUAUCACAUACCGCCCUAGUUCUAACCAUAAACAAUGCCAGCCAGCAAUCCGCCAAAUUUCCUCCGAUGACUCCGCGGGCGGCUUCCGGGAAACCAAACCUUUUGGGUUCCGGGGGAAGUAUGGUUGCAAAGCUGAAACUUAAAGGAAUUGACGGAAGGGCACCACCAGGAGUGGAGCCUGCGGCUUAAUUUGACUCAACACGGGAAACCUCACCAGGCCCGGACACCGGGAGGAUUGACAGAUUGAGAGCUCUUUCUUGAUUCGGUGGGUGGUGGUGCAUGGCCGUUCUUAGUUGGUGGAGCGAUUUGUCUGGUUAAUUCCGAUAACGAACGAGACUCUAGCCUGCUAACUAGUCGCUUCCGGUAUCCUUGUGCUACCGGCGACUCCUGAUCUUCUUAGAGGGACAGGCGGCUUCUAGCCGCACGAGAUUGAGCAAUAACAGGUCUGUGAUGCCCUUAGAUGUUCUGGGCCGCACGCGCGCUACACUGAAGGAAUCAGCGUGUCCUCCCUGGCCGAAAGGUCCGGGUAACCCGCUGAACCUCCUUCGUGCUAGGGAUUGGGGCUUGCAAUUGUUCCCCAUGAACGAGGAAUUCCCAGUAAGCGCGAGUCAUAAGCUCGCGUUGAUUACGUCCCUGCCCUUUGUACACACCGCCCGUCGCUACUACCGAUUGAAUGAUUUAGUGAGGUCUUCGGACCGGUGGGCGAGGGGGCUCGCCUCCUCGAUUCCACCGGGAAGAUGCCCAAACUUGAUCAUUUAGAGGAAGUAAAAGUCGUAACAAGGU
Molecule: ribosomal RNA, 1194 nt
Filed under: Acanthops sp. MN529
Lineage: Eukaryota; Metazoa; Arthropoda; Insecta; Mantodea; Acanthopidae
Description: SSU rRNA
Rfam family: Eukaryotic small subunit ribosomal RNA
Source: RNAcentral